CGCGAAUCGCCCUUCGGGGUGCAGCAGGCGCGAAAACUCUACAAUGCAGGCAACUGCGAUAGGGGGACAUCGAGUGGCAUCCACCUUGGGUGCCUGUCCCACCGUCUAAAAAACGGUGGUUAGCAAGGGCCGGGCAAGACCGGUGCCAGCCGCCGCGGUAAUACCGGCGGCUCGAGUGGUGGCCGAUAUUAUUGAGUCUAAAGGGUCCGUAGCCGGCUUUGCAAGUCUCUCGGGAAAUCCAGCGGCUUAACCGUUGGUCGUCCGGGGGGUACUACAUUGCUUGGGACUGGGAGAGGUAGGAGGUACUCAGGGGGUAGGAGUGAAAUCCUGUAAUCCUCUGGGGACCACCGGUGGCGAAGGCGUCCUACCAGAACAGGUCCGACGGUGAGGGACGAAAGCUAGGGGCACGAACCGGAUUAGAUACCCGGGUAGUCCUAGCCGUAAACGAUGCUCGCUAGGUGUCACAACAGUCGUGAACUGUUGUGGUGCCGUAGGGAAGCCGUGAAGCGAGCCACUUGGGAAGUACGACCGCAAGGUUGAAACUUAAAGGAAUUGGCGGGGGAGCAC
This 567-nucleotide ribosomal RNA is filed under the name uncultured archaeon. RNAcentral's name for it is "bacterial SSU rRNA". It matches the Rfam family "Archaeal small subunit ribosomal RNA", at positions 312 to 879 of the family's 1478-position model. The record is from RNAcentral.